GUGGGGAAUUUUGGACAAUGGGCGCAAGCCUGAUCCAGCAAUGCCGCGUGCAGGAAGAAGGCCUUCGGGUUGUAAACUGCUUUUGUACGGAACGAAACGGUCCUGGUUAAUACCUGGGGCUAAUGACGGUACCGUAAGAAUAAGCACCGGCUAACUACGUGCCAGCAGCCGCGGUAAUACGUAGGGUGCGAGCGUUAAUCGGAAUUACUGGGCGUAAAGCGUGCGCAGGCGGUGCUGUAAGACAGGCGUGAAAUCCCCGGGCUCAACCUGGGAAUUGCGCUUGUGACUGCAAGGCUGGAGUGCGGCAGAGGGGGAUGGAAUUCCGCGUGUAGCAGUGAAAUGCGUAGAUAUGCGGAGGAACACCGAUGGCGAAGGCAAUCCCCUGGGCCUGCACUGACGCUCAUGCACGAAAGCGUGGGGAGCAAACAGGAUUAGAAACCCUUGUAGUCC
This 450-nucleotide ribosomal RNA is filed under the name uncultured bacterium. RNAcentral describes it as "partial 16S ribosomal RNA". It matches the Rfam family "Bacterial small subunit ribosomal RNA", at positions 354 to 796 of the family's 1533-position model. The record is from RNAcentral.